RNAcentral lists this ribosomal RNA (468 nucleotides) under uncultured bacterium. Its description in RNAcentral is "partial 16S ribosomal RNA". It matches the Rfam family "Bacterial small subunit ribosomal RNA", at positions 28 to 507 of the family's 1533-position model. The record is from RNAcentral.
GACGAACGCUGGCGGCGUGCUUAACACAUGCAAGUCGAACGGAAAGGCCCUGCUUUUGUGGGGUGCUCGAGUGGCGAACGGGUGAGUAACACGUGAGUAACCUGCCCUUGACUUUGGGAUAACUUCAGGAAACUGGGGCUAAUACCGGAUAGGAGCUCCUGCUGCAUGGUGGGGGUUGGAAAGUUUCGGCGGUUGGGGAUGGACUCGCGGCUUAUCAGCUUGUUGGUGGGGUAGUGGCUUACCAAGGCUUUGACGGGUAGCCGGCCUGAGAGGGUGACCGGACACAUGGGGACUGAGAUACGGCACAGAAUCCAACGGGAGGCAGCAGUGGGGAAUAUUGCACAAUGGGCGGAAGCCUGAUGCAGCAACGCCGCGUGCGGGAUGACGGCCUUCGGGUUGUAAACCGCUUUCGACUGUGACGAAGCGUGAGUGACGGUAAUGGGUAAAGAAGCACCGGCUAACUACGUG